Long non-coding RNA from Symphalangus syndactylus (siamang), 1180 nucleotides. RefSeq lists it as uncharacterized. The record is from RefSeq and is a predicted model, not a curated record. NCBI's taxonomy places the organism in Eukaryota, Metazoa, Chordata, Mammalia, Primates, Hylobatidae.
UUCAGAGACAACUCCUGCAUAACAAGAUGAAGAAUAGACUUGGGAUAAUUUGUCAUAGCAGCAGUAUAAAACCAAGUGGUUCAUCUUACUAAAAAUAGUUACAGGUUAACAAGUCAGAAAUAGUUUUAAGGAGAAGGUCAUCAUCUGAGCAUUGGAGUGAAGGGGAUAGCAUUUCAAGUGAGGGGUGUGACAGGCCCAGUUCUGGUGAUGAUUUCACUUUUGACAGAAGCUGUCCCUCAAAAGCAAACAUGCAAUAAAAGAAACAGAUCUCAGUAACUGCACCUUCCAGCUGUAUGACUCCUAGAUGAUCUUAAAGUGCUUACCUUCCAUUACUUCAUUUUGCCCGGUAACCAAUUUUGUUGAAAGAGAUGGGUAGGUUAUCAUCAUCAUUUCCAUUUUAAAGUAGAAAUGAGACAGAGAAAGGAACCAACUUACCCACAAAGCUAGAAGACAGCUGAGCUGCCAUGAAAACUUGGCCUCCUCGACACAACUCUUGCUGCCAGAGAUGUGCCUUAGUUAAGCGCCUCAGUGAAGAAAAGGGCAGUCUGUUUAAUAGCUCCUCAUUGACACCCUGUCACUGCUGAACUGGCACGGAACCCAGAGUUGGCAGGGUGGUACAUGCCUCUCUCUACCUUGUUUCCUACACACCAGUUCUUAAAAUCAGAAGGCUGUGUUAACCCAAGUCUUCUCUCCAAGGAUUAAUAAUCAUGAAAACAACAACAGUCAACCUUUGCAUGGUUCUUAACAAUGAACUCAGCACUUUCAAAGAUGUUCAUCAUUUAUUUUCUCCAACGACUUUACAAUGUAGGUGACAUUGGUGCCAUUUUUCAAAAAUGGGAAAACGGGGGAUCUGAGAUGACGUGAUUGGUCUGAGGAUUAUGAAGCUCACUACUGAUGAAGCCAGCAUCCAGUUUUUCAGACACCAAACCUGCUAUCUUCACUAUACCAUGUGCAUUGCAGAAAAGACACGGAAUUAGGGAGCUUGUGUUAUGAUUGCUGUUCCCAGUUAGAAUUAAAUGUAACAAGAGCCUGAAGAGCAAUCCCUACCAGUUUGCUUCUUUUCUAUCACUAAGUCAGUUCUUUUGUAGAAAUACAUAUUCAGGACAGGUAUAAUCAACUCCCCUUUCACCUAAAUUUUAUUUGGAAAAGAAUGCCUAUUAAAAUAAUAGAUGAAAAACUC